The sequence is a transfer RNA, 85 nucleotides long. It matches the Rfam family "tRNA". From Rfam's summary of the family: Transfer RNA (tRNA) molecules are approximately 80 nucleotides in length. Their secondary structure includes four short double-helical elements and three loops (D, anti-codon, and T loops). The record is from Rfam.
AGGGAAUUGGCCGAGUGGUUUAAGGCGAUAAAUUUGAGCUUUAUUAUGUUUAAUUACUGCAUCCGUUCGAAUCGGAUAUUCUCUG